This 138-nucleotide ribosomal RNA is filed under the name uncultured bacterium. Its description in RNAcentral is "partial 16S ribosomal RNA". It matches the Rfam family "Bacterial small subunit ribosomal RNA", at positions 395 to 524 of the family's 1533-position model. The record is from RNAcentral.
UGCCGCGUGUGUGAAGAAGGCCUUUUGGUUGUAAAGCACUUUAAGCGAGGAGGAAGCUACUUAGAUUAAUACUCUGGGAUAUUGGACGUUACUCGCAGAAUAAGCACCGGCUAACUCUGUGCCAGCAGCCGCGGUAAU